RNAcentral lists this ribosomal RNA (253 nucleotides) under uncultured bacterium. RNAcentral describes it as "partial 16S ribosomal RNA". It matches the Rfam family "Bacterial small subunit ribosomal RNA", at positions 524 to 776 of the family's 1533-position model. The record is from RNAcentral.
UACGUAGGGUGCAAGCGUUAAUCGGAAUUACUGGGCGUAAAGCGUGCGCAGGCGGUUUUGUAAGACAGGUGUGAAAUCCCCGGGCUUAACCUGGGAACUGCAUUUGUGACUGCAAGGCUGGAGUGCGGCAGAGGGGGAUGGAAUUCCACGUGUAGCAGUGAAAUGCGUAGAGAUGUGGAGGAACACCGAUGGCGAAGGCAGCCCCCUGGGUUAACACUGACGCUCAGGCACGAAAGCGUGGGGAGCAAACAGG